Molecule: ribosomal RNA, 270 nt
Filed under: uncultured Acaulospora
Lineage: Eukaryota; Fungi; Glomeromycota; Glomeromycetes; Diversisporales; Acaulosporaceae
Description: partial small subunit ribosomal RNA
Rfam family: Eukaryotic small subunit ribosomal RNA
Source: RNAcentral
UAAAGUUGUUGCAGUUAGAAAGCUCGUAGUUGAAUUUCGGAAUCUGUCCAUCGGUCGGGCUUCAUUGUUCGUACUGGUGUGGUGGGUUCUUACCUUCUGAAUAACCAGCAUGCCAUUCACUUGGUGCGUUGGGGAAGCAGGACUAUUACCUUGAAAAAAUUAGAGUGCUCAAAGCAGGCCAGUGCCUGAAUACAUUAGCAUGGAAUAAUAAAAUAGGACGGAAUGGUUCUAUUUUGUUGGUUUCUAGGAUCACAGUAAUGAUUAAUAGGG